Bubalus bubalis (water buffalo) is the source of this 494-nucleotide long non-coding RNA. RefSeq lists it as uncharacterized. The record is from RefSeq and is a predicted model, not a curated record. Lineage: Eukaryota; Metazoa; Chordata; Mammalia; Artiodactyla; Bovidae. The transcript is spliced from 3 exons.
CGAAGGUCAGGGGCAGCGACCGAGAGUGCCAGGCUGUGACGGCACAGGAGCAGCUGAGAGGAGCUACCCCACAUCCGAGGUCAGGGGAGUCGACCACGAGGAGCAACCCCACAUCCAAGGAACGGUGGCUGCACGGGCAAAGGAGGGCCGAGAGAAGCUACUCCACAUUCAAGGUCAGGAGGAGCAGCCGUGAGGAGAUACCCCUCGUCCAAGGUAAUGAUUUAAGACUAUCAUGCAAAUGACUGCAAGCCUACAGAUUCACAUCUCAGUGAGAUGCGAUCAGUUCUACUAAAGCCUGGUCAAAUCCAAGUACGAAAAGUCAUCGGAAUAAAACCCAUGGCCCAUAACAAUGGGGCCAUUAAGAAAAUUAAACUCCCAAGCUCAGAAAAUGUCUCCAGUAAAUCUGUAAACAUCACCUGGCUUGUAAGUAGAAAAAUGAGCACUUGUACCUCUGGGAAGAACUGACUCAUUUGAAAAGACUCUGAUGCUGGGCA